UUCAUUAAUAUUUAUGCCUUCUUAGAGGUUAAAUGUGGACCUUGAAGAAUUUAGGUUAAUAAUUAUUCUCUUUAAGGGUUAAAAUUUACAAUAAUAACAUUUAACUCUUUAUUUUUUAACUUUCUACCAAAAACACCUUUAGAGAGAUCAAAUACAUAAUUCAGAAUAAAGCCAGUUUGCAAGCUUGAUUCUCUUUAAAAAUUGG
Molecule: unclassified non-coding RNA, 205 nt
Filed under: Hevea brasiliensis (rubber tree)
Lineage: Eukaryota; Viridiplantae; Streptophyta; Magnoliopsida; Malpighiales; Euphorbiaceae
Source: RNAcentral